This is a long non-coding RNA of Homo sapiens (human), 2182 nucleotides long. Ensembl annotates it as PSMB8 antisense RNA 1 (head to head). Its record names the gene PSMB8-AS1. Lineage: Eukaryota; Metazoa; Chordata; Mammalia; Primates; Hominidae. The record is from Ensembl.
AGUUAGUGCCUGGACCAGGACCAUCACACUGGGGACCGGCUUCUCUGCUCUCCCGUUAUGGGGGUCGGGGGAAUGAUGGGUCAAGGGUCUUCCGAAGAAAGCGAGAAAGGAACAGGCGCCUUCAAAAGCCCACUUGGCGAUGGGUUACAGUAAGAGGUACCUCCAGGCCCGGGCAUCCGCUGGAAACAGGGGUGGGUAGGGUCGUGUCAUCUAAAGGCGCAGCUUCAACCAGAAGACUAGAAGUCAGCCAGGAGCUGGGAGUAGUGUCACGCGGGGUGGGGGUUCCUAUGAGCAUCACUUUACAAAACCAGGAGGGACGGAAGUGCGAGGGGGCAGAGUCUUGGAAACAGGUCCUGGGCCAACUGCAACAGAAUAUACCCGCCGCGUGUAGGGGAAGGCGGCGCCAGGGAGAGGGCGCAGUCUCUGAAUCUUUCCACGGGGUCCAUCCUAGGGCCCCUCCAGGUUCAACGGUCUCCUAACCUGUAGUCACCCACAAGAGCGUGCCCUUUCUGCCCGCCCUUCCUAGCGUUGCUCCCUGCUUGGCUGAGCACUGCGGAGUUUCACGCCUCUAAACCCCGCCUCUUCUUGCAACCUGUGUUGGCCUCAUCUACCCAGCAACUGUCGACGUCACACGACCUGGGCCUCCCUGAAUGGGAGAUAUUUACUAGGCAAUCCCGCCUACUGUUCUGAGGUUUCCCCUCCAGGUGCAGCUUCAGAGCCAGGCGAGCCAGGAAGGACCAGCGGGCGAGGUGGUGAGUUGUGAGGCGCGCCCAGUCCCUCUGUUCCCGCCUGGCACUUGCUCUGGCCGCGCCCGCCCCAUCUGCCACUUCGGAGAGGCCACGGCUCUGAGCUGCGGCCGCUAGUGCCCUGAUGGGCCCUGUGGCUGGGGUCUUGCACAUUCUUGGGGGUGGGCCUAAGGGGAUAGGGGAAGUGGAAGGGGCCUCAUAGGAAUUAAAAAGCUUAAGGGAAAAGGUGAUGCAGUUAGGGGGUAAAACAUUGAGGAUGAUAAAAGAGGAGACAUCCGCAGCUGAAAAGUGCGCUGCAAAAGGCAGUGGGCCGUUUGGUGUGCCGGAAACAUAAGAAACCACAGUACAAAACACCAAUUUUAUUAUAAAUAUCAAGAACCUACAGGGUGUUUAUGGGCCAGCAUAUGCCUUCAGUUAUGUUGAAAAUAGCUGAUCAUCUUUCCGUACAUUCUGAACAUUUCUCAGUUUCAGAGUGCUGGCCACACCAAAGCAUCAGCCCUGGCUCUAAACUCCGUUACAGUAAGGAAUUACAAAUCCUGUGUUUGUACUCCAGGAAGUCUGCAUUAUCACGAGGAGCUUGGAAAGGAGGUAACACACUCAAGGCAAAUUUCAAGUAACUCAUCCUGGAGGCAGCUGCCUACUCUGCAGCUGUGGUUCUCCACCACAGAGAGAAGAAAAGGGAGGGAGAUGGAGUGCGCAGGUCUGAGAAGGCUUUCAUUCUGGAGCAUCUGCAGGAGCCUGCACCAUGGCCCAGUAGCACCCCUUUUUCUCCAUGAGCUGCUGGUGGGUUCCCCCCUCCCGGAUAGCGCCUCCUUCCAGAAAGAGGAUGUGGUCAGCCUGCUCCACCAGGCUGAGGUGCUGGGUGAUGAGAAGCACUGAGCGGGAGUACCGCUCAGGGCUUUCGUACAGGAGCUGCUCCACCUGAGGAAAGACAUCGGACCGUCAGAGCCGGGGACUACCCUCAGCCCAGGGAGACACCUGUGUUUCCAGGGCUGGGACUGACCUCACAGGAUCACUGCUGGCUCUGCUAACAACCCCAAGGACACCAACGUUUCCCAUUCUGAGUACUUCUCCGCAAACCCUUUGUUUCAUUAAGGACUGUUUUACAUGAAGGGUGCAAAAGUAGGAUAAAAAUGAGAACCCUAGGGUGAAACACGUGACAGAAGAAUAAAGACUAUUGAAUAGUCCUCUUCUCUACCCAUGGACUUGGCAUUUUUAUAUUCGAUUUUAAGGAAAUAUAACUUAGUAGUAAAGAGAUGAGCAUUCAAGUCAGGCAGACCUGAAUUUGGGUCAAGGCUGCGCCACUCAAAAGCUAUAUGACCUCUAUAUGAGCAGCUUAUUCAACCUCUUUUAACCUCCAUUUUGUCAUCUGUAGAAUGAUGAUAAAUGCCUAGCUCAGAAGGAUUCCUAAUGAAUAAAUGAGUGACAGUGCAUGU